This is a long non-coding RNA of Clupea harengus (Atlantic herring), 1143 nucleotides long. The record is from Ensembl. Lineage: Eukaryota; Metazoa; Chordata; Actinopteri; Clupeiformes; Clupeidae.
GUGCUGACUAAGACUCUAGAUGAGCCAUUAAGUGUUUGAAGUGUUACAGGCCAAAAUAGAAAAAAAAAGUACUUUUUUUUUUUUUUUACUGAUUUUGUUUAUCAAUACACAUGCAUAAAUUCUUUUUUUUUUUUUUAACUGAUUUUGUUUAUCAAUAUACAUGCAUUAAUACUUUUUUUUUUUAACUGGCAGGAAAGGCAGGAAAGUCAUUGGCUAGCCUUGUUAGGUGCUGACUAAGACUGUAGAUGAGCCAUUUAGUGUUUGAAGUGUUACAGGCCAAAAUAGAAAAAAAUAGUAAGAGCAUAUUGGUAACCUCGACCGGUUAAGCAAAAAAGGCAGGAAAGUCAUUGGCUAGCCUUGUUAGGUGCUGACUAAGACUCUAGAUGAGCCAUUAAGUGUUUGAAGUGUUACAGGCCAAAAUAGAAAAAAAAAGUACUUUUUUUUUUUUUUACUGAUUUUGUUUAUCAAUAUACAUGCAUAAAUACUUUUUUUUUAACUGAUUUAAGUGUUACAGGCCAAAAGAGAAAAAGAUUGUAUGAGCCAAUGUAACCUCGACCGGUUAAGCAAAAAAGGCAGGAAAGUCAUUGGCUAGCCUUGUUAGGUGCUGACUAAGACUGUAGAUGAGCCAUUAAGUGUUUGAAGUGUUACAGGCCAAAAUAGAAAAAAAAAGUACUUUUUUUUUUUUUUUACUGAUUUUGUUUAUCAAUACACAUGCAUAAAUACUUUUUUUUUUCUUUUUUUAACUGAUUUAAGUGGUACAGGCCAAAAGAGAAAAAAUUUGUACGAGCAUAUUGGUAACCUCGACCGGUUAAGCAAAAAAGGCAGGAAAGUCAUUGGCUAGCCUUGUUAGGUGCUGACUAAGACUGUAGAUGAGCCAUUAAGUGUUUGAAGUGUUACAGGCCAAAAUAGUACUUUUUUUUUUUUUAACUGAUUUUGUUUAUCAAUAUACAUGCAUAAAUACUUUUUUUUUUAACUGAUUUAAGUGUUACAGGCCAAAAGAGAAAAAGAUUGUAUGAGCCAAUGUAACCUCGACCGGUUAAGCAAAAAAGGCAGGAAAGUCAUUGGCUAGCCUUGUUAGGUGCUGACUACGACUGUAGAUGAGCGAUUAAGUGUUUGAAGUGUUACAGGCCAAAAUAGAAAAAA